GAUGAACGCUGGCGGCGUGCCUAAUACAUGCAAGUCGAGCGAACCGACGAGGAGGUUGUCCCUCUGACGUUAGAGUCGGAAAGGGGAGUAACACGUGGAUAUCACACCUCUAAGACUUGGAUAACUUCGGGAAAACGGAGUUAUAAUCGGAUAAUAUAUUUAAUCUCCUGGUUCAAUAGUGAAGGAAGGUUUUGUUGUCAUUUAUGGUUGGCUCCGCGCCGCAUUAGCUAGUUGGUAGGGUAACGGCGUACCAGGGCAACGAUGCGUAGCCGACCUGAGAGGGUGAUCGGCCACACUGUAACAGAGACACGGUCCAGACGCCUACGGGAGUCAGCGGGAGGGAAGCUGCCACAAUGGGCGAAUGCCUGACGGAGCAACGCCGCGUGAGUGAGGAAGGGCUUCGGAUCGUAAAACUCUGUUAUUAGUGAAGAACAAAUGUGUAAGUAACGAUGCACGUCUUGAGGGUACCUAAUCAGAAAGCCACGGCUAACUACGUG
Molecule: ribosomal RNA, 497 nt
Filed under: uncultured bacterium
Lineage: Bacteria
Description: partial 16S ribosomal RNA
Rfam family: Bacterial small subunit ribosomal RNA
Source: RNAcentral